GACGAACGCUGGCGGCACGCUUAACAUAUGCAAGUCGAACGGAAAGGCCUGCUUUCCCUUGUGGAUUGCGGGUACUCGAGUGGCGAACGGGUGAGUAACACGUGAGUGAUCUGCCCCCAACUUGGGUAUAAGCCUGGGAAACUGGGUCUAAUUCCCGAUAGGACUGCAGGGUGGUGCCUGUGGUGGAAAACGAUUUUCUAGUGGUUGGGGAUGAGCUCGCGGCCUAUCAGCUUGUUGGUGGGGUAAUGGCCUACCAAGGCGGCGACGGGUAGCCGGCCUGAGAGGGUGGACGGCCACAUUGGGACUGAGAUACGGCCCAGACUCCUACGGGAGGCAGCAGUGGGGAAUAUUGCACAAUGGGCGGAAGCCUGAUGCAGCGACGCCGCGUGGGGGAUGACGGCCUUCGGGUUGUAAACUCCUUUCGACCGCGAGGAAGCCACCUGGUUGGAAGGGUGGUGACGGUAGUGGUAGAAGAAGCACCGGCUAACUACGUG
Molecule: ribosomal RNA, 494 nt
Filed under: uncultured bacterium
Lineage: Bacteria
Description: partial 16S ribosomal RNA
Rfam family: Bacterial small subunit ribosomal RNA
Source: RNAcentral